RNAcentral lists this unclassified non-coding RNA (363 nucleotides) under uncultured bacterium. RNAcentral's name for it is "contains 16S-23S intergenic spacer region". The record is from RNAcentral.
UCCCUGUUACCAGAGCAGUCUAGCUAGAGAAAUUCAACUAACUAUAAGGGUUGCGCUCGUUGAUGGACUUAACCAAACAUCUCACGACACGAGCUGACGACGGCCAUGCAACACCUGUCACUUGGCUCAAUAAAGCACUCUCUGCUUUCGCAGAAAUUCCAAGGAUGUCAAGCCUGGGUAAGGUUCUUCGCUUAUCAUCGAAUUAAACAACACGCUCCACCGCUUGUGCGGGUCCCCGUCAAUUCCUUUAUGUUUUAGUCUUGCGACCGUACUCCACAGGCGGGGUGCUUAACGCGUUAGCUUCGCUACGUCGCGGGUCGAUACGCGGCACAGCUAGCACCCAUCGUUUACAGCGUGGACUAC